Molecule: ribosomal RNA, 480 nt
Filed under: uncultured Methanosaeta sp.
Lineage: Archaea; Methanobacteriati; Methanobacteriota; Methanomicrobia; Methanotrichales; Methanotrichaceae
Description: bacterial SSU rRNA
Rfam family: Archaeal small subunit ribosomal RNA
Source: RNAcentral
CAAAGGAAUUGACGGGGAGCACCACAACGGGUGGAGCUUGCGGUUUAAUUGGAUUCAACGCCGGAAAUCUUACCGGGACCGACAGCAAUAUGAAGGCCAGGCUGAAGACUUUGCCGGAUUAGCUGAGAGGUGGUGCAUGGCCGUCGUCAGUUCGUACUGUGAAGCAUCCUGUUAAGUCAGGCAACGAGCGAGACCCACGCCCACAGUUGCCAGCGUACUCUCUGGAGUGACGGGUACACUGUGGGACCGCCGCUGCUAAAGCGGAGGAAGGAAUGGGCAACGGUAGGUCAGUAUGCCCCGAAUAUCCCGGGCUACACGCGAGCUACAAUGGUUGGUACAAUGGGUAUCUACCCCGAAAGGGGACGGGAAUCUCCUAAAACCAAUCUUAGUUCGGAUUGAGGGCUGCAACUCGCCCUCAUGAAGCUGGAAUCCGUAGUAAUCGCGUUUCAACAGAACGCGGUGAAUACGUCCCUGCUCCUU